GGGAGAGAGACGGAAAGGGGAACGGGAGGGUUGACGUGUUGGAGGGCGAGGAUCGCCGGGAAUUUUGGCUCGGGGGCUGUUGGGUGUGCCGGUAGGUGGUGCAUCCAUCAGAGGGUCGUUGAGGGAGGAGAGGAGGGGGACAGAGGGACUGACAGGUUGGAGAGAGAUGGGAGUUAGGGGUUUCGACUGGGCGGGAGAGAGAUUUAGGGAUUUUGUUGAAUUUUUUAGACAAUGAUGGAGAGUGUGAGAUAGAGAGGGCAGAGAGCAUGCCCUGCGUUUUUUGGGGUUAACGGGUUACCCCACGGGGUUGGUGAGCAGAGGAUGUCUGAGGGAGGUAUGGGAGAGAGAACCAACUCUGAUUCAACAGGUUUGACAUAUGGGUGGAUUUGGCAUUGCUCAUGCUGCUGCUAGGUGUCGUCUGCUUCUUCUGCUUCAUUGGUUUUGUUCUUCUGCACUCCCUUGGCCCCUGGGAUUUUUGUGCUUCACUACUGCCCUGCUCCGGGAUCUUCAAUUUUGAAUGGUUGUCGGUCCCAGCCGGCUAGAGCUUCAAUUUUGUGUUUCUGCACUCUCCCGGGGAUUUCUUCACUGCCCUGCUACUGGGAUCUUCAAUUUUUGAAUAGUUGUGGAUCCCAGCCUGCUAUCUGCAGAGCUUCUAUUUUCCCUUAACAACUUCGUCGGUAGCAAUGCGCCUCCCUCAAACUGCUAUAGUGGCAUUUGUUUAACUUUUACUUGAAGGAUUGAGCAAUGGGUUACGCGUCGAAUGUUUAUGCAGCCAACAUUCCGGUGUCUGAGAUUGGCGUGCAAAUUACUGGUAAUUUGGAUUGGUGUCUGAGAUUUAGAGAAUGGCUCGCAUCUUUAAUUUCCUUUUCCUUCAUUAUUACUGUUUUCAAAAUUUUUACUGCUGGGUAUUGAUUAUUUGUGGUCUGUGAGGGUUCAGUCUGUUGGAAUUUUGAAUGGUUAUUGCUUCAUCGGAAUUUGGGUGGUCCAAAUUUUGAAUUAGAGAAAACCCAUUUGAUUAAUAUUUUAGGUGGAUUGGCUCUCUGUGUUUUGUCUAUUAUUUCUUUCCCAGUUGGAAAGUGGAAGCCCCAACUUUGAGCUCAGAGCUUGAAUUUCUCAAUCAUUCGUUUCUCUGCACUCUCAUCAGUCACUCUUUAUCCUCUCUCUGAGAAACUAGCUUAAUUGUCAACCUGUUUUGAGGUAGCCACGUGAACCAUUGCAGGAAACGUGCUGCCGACUCGGGAUUUAACAUUGCAGGUUUCAUUGACUUCCUAUCCUGUGCUUACUUAUUUUUUAUUAUCUGAUUCUAAACUUUUAACAGCAUAAAGCUUAUGAAAAUUCAAAUGUAUUUGACCACGAUAUAAUUUUAGAGGAUUUAAAAAGUGAAAAUUUUUGGUGGAUGUAGAAGAAUGUUUUAAGUCUUAACAUAUUUUAAUGUGGACUAUCCUUUUAUUUGGGUCAAUUUACAUUGUCGAUCAUUGAUAAUAUUAAUGUUGCAAUCCUUGAUUCCCAAUGAAGAAUGGCUGUUUUGUAUCAAUCAUUAUUGGAAGGAAAAGAGAGGCAAGAGAAACAUUAGCUGUGUAAUAGUUUUACUAAACAAACAGAAUUAUAUCACACAUUUGGUAUCCUAUAGCUCAUCACAGUAAUCAUAGUUGGUCAGUUUAAUUAUUAGCAGCUGAUAAGUGUUUGUAAAGAAGUGUAGCCAUGGGAAUUUAAACAAAUUCAAAUUUAUAGAUUUGAAUGGGUCAAGGUUGAUGUGGUAAGGAAUUUAUGGACAGUUGGACAAACAAACACACACACACACACACACAUAUAUAUAUAUAUAUUAGUCCACCCUAUACAUAUUCUUUUGUCAAGCAUUUCCAAAGUUUCACUAGCUUAGAUACUGAUUGUUUUUCAGAAAUCUAACAUGCAAAAUUUCUAUGCAUGUUUUAAAAUUGGUUGUAGGAAGUAGGCUUCUAAGUGGACAUUAUGUGUGAAGGUUGUUUCAAUCAGAUAUGUAAUCGAAAUUUGCAUCAUUGGGGAGUCUGGUGUCUGUCAAUGUUUAAUGGGCUUCUAGCUUUAAAACCCCACAAUUAGCAAGCAAGGCGAGGCUUAAAUUGUGGUCAUGUGGUUGGUUAUUGAUUUUUUUCUCAUGACAAUUCCAAUGUUUCUUUACGUAGAGCUCAUGAUUGUAUAUCAUGGGUUUCCAAUAAUAAAAAAAGCUUAACACACACGAUAAGAUUGCUUCCACGUUGUUAAGGUGUUUUCUUUUCUCAAUAGCAAUGAACCAUUCAGCCUACAUUUAUUUAUUUGAGAAAACUUUAGAUUGUCUUUGAAAUUUUUACUCUAGCAUCUCUUCAAGAAUAAAAGAACAAUUACCAAAUUAAAAUCCCUAUAGACAUUGCUUAUAUCUUCAUCUCUGUAAGGCCCUAAUCCAGAAUUCCCAGGGAUGCAAAAGAUUCCACAUCUGUUUGGUCAUUUUGCUAAAUUUCAUUAGAUUUGGCCCUCAAUUUGAAAAAGCUUUCAUCUUGCUGUAAAUUUAAAGUCUUUUCUAUCUGUGUUGGUCCAUCUCAUUAUAUUUGAAAGUCUCAGAAUUGCUAAUGGAUUUAUUGUGUUUGGGAAUUUCAGGAUUUUGGAUUUUGGUUGGUUUAGGUUGCUGCAAAUGGGGGCUUUGGAUGUAAGGCGGUGGUUGGCAGACACCAAAAGGUUGAUUACCCUCCUUAUGGAAGGGACUUUGUGAACCAUCAGCCUACUGGAAGGUUUUGCAAUGGCAAACUGGCCACUGACAUCAGUUGUGACGAAUUCUAGGACGGAGGUGAGAGGAUUUGGAAGAAUCAGAUGUGCCUAUUCAUUUGCAAGGUCCAAACGUCUCUUGAAGAAGAUGUAUAUACCUGAUGAAUUGCUUAAACAUGAUUUGGAUGGAAAACCUUCUGUUGAUAUACCAAGGUGCCCAGUUUUAGUGUUGAUAUACCAAGGUGCCUAGUUUUAGUGUUUGUUGAUAUAAAAAUGAAAAGCUUGGAGGACGACUUUACAACGAAUUUUGCUACUGUCUGAAUAAAAAACAGAUUGUUGGUGGGGAUGAUGUGGUUAACUGGAUUCUUGGAGUUAUUUGUGAUCUGAAAUUACCAGAGUCGCCCUCCAUUGUGUCGAUAUCACAUGGGACUGAAAAUAACAUUCCACAUUUGUUUGGAUGGGUAGGACAUCUUUUAGUUUAUGAAAGCAUGUUUGAAGGGAUCAAUUAUUUUUCCAUUGUGCCGAUAUCACGUGGGACUGAAAGUAACAUCCCACUUUUGUUUGGAUGGGUAGGACAUCUUUUAGACAUAGUUUGGGAGUGAGGUGCUUAAAAAAAAACACCCAUGAAAAAAAGAUGCGAGGGUUUUAGGUGUUUGGUAAACUGAAAAAAAAAGGCUUAUUUUGGAAGCUGCUGUGAGAAUAAGCUGAAAUUAAAGGAAAAAGUUGAAGCUGCUAUUUGCAGCUUUGGAAAACUGGCUUUUGUUCAAAGCACACGGAGUUACAGUGCUUCUUUAAUGAAAAGAUCCACUAUUAGACUGCUUUUUUUUUCAAAAGCACUUUUACAAAAAAGUUUAUCAAACACUGUGCUGAUUUAUUUCACAGCCGUUUAUUCUCACCGCACAGCCGCUUAUUCUCACAGCAGUUUUUUUUCAAAGCACAUCAAUACCAAACCAGCCCUUAGUUUAUGAAAGCAUCUUUGAAGGGAUCAAUUAUUUUUCCAUUGUGCCGAUAUCACAUGGUACUGAAAAUAACAUCCCACUUUCGUUUGGAUGGGUAGGACAUCUUUUAGUUUAUGAAAGCAUCUUUGAAGGGAUCAAUUAUUUUUCCAUUGUCCCGAUAUCACGUGGGACUGAAAAUAACAUCCCACUUUCGUUUGGAUGGGUAGGACAUCUUUUAAUUUAUGAAAGCAUCUUUGAAGGGAUCAAUUAUUUUUCUUCUUUUGUUGUUGAUUGAAGUGGGUUACAGGAAUACAUUCGUUUGCCACAAAGUAAUUUAAUAAAUUUAUAUAUACAAAGGAUCACAUCAAAAUGGUAAAUUCGUUUGCCACAAACAUUUUAUUUACGAGACUUCCACUGGCCUGCCUCUUGCUCACUUGUGUUGUCUCUAUUAUUUCUGCAGUUUGUGGGUUUUGCAGGGAAAAAGACAAAGUUAAUGGAAUGGUACAUGGGCACCACCACAGAAAUAAUAGUAAUAAAUAAAUAAAAAAGGAGAAAUGGGGACAAAUGUUUCUGGAGCCAUGUGGAAGAAAGUCUUCAUGUAAACAGUAAAGACUUCAAAAAUCUGGCUUAUUAAAGUC
Non-coding RNA from Malus domestica (apple), 4288 nucleotides. The record is from RefSeq and is a predicted model, not a curated record. Lineage: Eukaryota; Viridiplantae; Streptophyta; Magnoliopsida; Rosales; Rosaceae.